This 547-nucleotide long non-coding RNA is filed under the name Spirodela polyrhiza (greater duckweed). Its description in RNAcentral is "long non-coding RNA (SPOL_LNC001773)". Lineage: Eukaryota; Viridiplantae; Streptophyta; Magnoliopsida; Alismatales; Araceae. The record is from RNAcentral.
CCGUUCUCGGAGAAGCUCAUCGACGGGAUUAAUCAGAGCGAGGCGAGGAGGAGGGCCUUGAUCUUCUUCUGCCUUGUCUACCUUAACGCCAAUGCCCGGGUGAGCCUGCAGAUCGACCUCAUUUUCCCAUGAAUUUUCUGCUUGAUAUCCUGCGAUUGAAAAAUAAUAUAUAUAAAAAUAAACAAGAUAAUGAUGUGGACAGAUCCAGCCUCUCGGGGAAGAUCCACAGUGAUGUGAGGAACUCCUUUUUCUGUACAAAUAAAAGGAAAAAAGAAAAAUAAAAUCAAGAGAUGGGCGGCAUUCCUUCUGGUUCUGACUCGAUUCGAUCUAUGCUUGUUUCGCCGCGAAGGAUGCGUUCGUGCUUUCCGUGGAUCGGAGAGGAUUCGACGUCCUCGCGAAGGUCCCCUGCGCGGGCGCCGGAGACGGCGUGGGGGCUCACCAGUGGAGGGAGUUCCGGAUCUCCUUCAAGGAGGAGGUCUCCGACGUCGAGGCGUUCUGCAACCUGCUGGUGGAGAUGGAGGCGGCGACUCUCAGAGAAAUCAACAGC